Molecule: ribosomal RNA, 292 nt
Filed under: uncultured bacterium
Lineage: Bacteria
Description: partial 16S ribosomal RNA
Rfam family: Bacterial small subunit ribosomal RNA
Source: RNAcentral
GUGUCAGCCGCCGCGGUAAUACAGAGGUCUCAAGCGUUGUUCGGAUUCAUUGGGCGUAAAGGGUGCGUAGGCUGCGAGGUAAGUCUGGUGUGAAAUCCCGGGGCUCAACCCCGGAACUGCACUGGAUACUGCUUUGCUAGAGUACUGGAGAGGGAACUGGAAUUUACGGUGUAGCAGUGAAAUGCGUAGAUAUCGUAAGGAAGACCAGCGGCGAAGGCGAGUUCCUGGACAGUUACUGACGCUGAGGCACGAAGGCCAGGGGAGCAAACGGGAUUAGAUACCCCCGUAGUCC